RNAcentral lists this ribosomal RNA (274 nucleotides) under uncultured bacterium. Its description in RNAcentral is "partial 16S ribosomal RNA". It matches the Rfam family "Bacterial small subunit ribosomal RNA", at positions 523 to 796 of the family's 1533-position model. The record is from RNAcentral.
AUACGGAGGGUGCGAGCGUUAAUCGGAAUUACUGGGCGUAAAGCGUACGUAGGCGGUUGGGUAAGUUAGAUGUGAAAGCCCCGGGCUUAACCUGGGAACUGCAUUUAAAACUGGCGAACUAGAGUUGAGUAGAGGGGAGUGGAAUUUCAGGUGUAGCGGUGAAAUGCGUAGAGAUCUGAAGGAACACCAGUGGCGAAGGCGACUCCCUGGACUCGAACUGACGCUGAGGUACAAAAGCGUGGGUAGCAAACGGGAUUAGAAACCCUAGUAGUCC